UACGGAGGAUGCGAGCGUUAUCCGGAUUUAUUGGGUUUAAAGGGUGCGCAGGCGGAGGCACAAGUCAGCGGUAAAAUCGCGGGGCUCAACCCCGCUCCGCCGUUGAAACUGUGUCCCUUGAGUGCGCGAAGGGUAGGCGGAAUGCGUGGUGUAGCGGUGAAAUGCAUAGAUAUCACGCAGAACUCCGGUCGCGAAGGCAGCCUACCGGCGCGCGACUGACGCUCAUGCACGAAAGCGUGGGUAUCGAACAGG
This 252-nucleotide ribosomal RNA is filed under the name uncultured bacterium. RNAcentral describes it as "partial 16S ribosomal RNA". It matches the Rfam family "Bacterial small subunit ribosomal RNA", at positions 524 to 776 of the family's 1533-position model. The record is from RNAcentral.